GACGAACGCUGGCGGCGUGCUUAACACAUGCAAGUCGAACGGAAAGGCCCUGCUUUUGUGGGGUGCUCGAGUGGCGAACGGGUGAGUAACACGUGAGUAGCCUGCCCUUGACUUUGGGAUAACUUCAGGAAACUGGGGCUAAUACCGGAUAGGAGCUCCUGCUGCAUGGUGGGGGUUGGAAAGUUUCGGCGGUUGGGGAUGGACUCGCGGCUUAUCAGCUUGUUGGUGGGGUAGUGGCUUACCAAGGCUUUGACGGGUAGCCGGCCUGAGAGGGUGACCGGCCACAUUGGGACUGAGAUACGGCCCAGACUCCUACGGGGGGCAGCAGUGGGGAAUAUUGCACAAUGGGCGGAAGCCUGAUGCAGCAACGCCGCGUGCGGGAUGACGGCCUUCGGGUUGUAAACCGCUUUCGCCUGUGACGAAGCGUGAGUGACGGUAAUGGGUAAAGAAGCACCGGCUAACUACGUGCCAGCGGCCGCGGUGAUACGUAGGGUGCGAGCGUUGUCCGGAUUUAUUGGGCGUAAAGGGCUCGUAGGUGGUUGAUCGCGUCGGAAGUGUAAUCUUGGGGCUUAACCCUGAGCGUGCUUUCGAUACGGGUUGACUUGAGGAAGGUAGGGGAGAAUGGAAUUCCUGGUGGAGCGGUGGAAUGCGCAGAUAUCAGGAGGAACACCAGUGGCGAAGGCGGUUCUCUGGGCCUUUCCUGACGCUGAGGAGCGAAAGCGUGGGGAGCGAACAGGCUUAGAUACCCUGGUAGUCCACGCUGUAAACGGUGGGUACUAGGUGUGGGGUCCAUUCCACGGGUUCCGUGCCGUAGCUAACGCUUUAAGUACCCCGCCUGGGGAGUACGGCCGCAAGGCUAAAACUCAAAGGAAUUGACGGGGCCCCGCACAAGCGGCGGAGCAUGCGGAUUAAUUCGAUGCAACGCGUAGAACCUUACCUGGGUUUGACAUGGAUCGGGAGUGCUCAGAGAUGGGUGUGCCUCUUUUGGGGUCUGUUCACAGGUGGUGCAUGGCUGUCGUCAGCUCGUGUCGUGAGAUGUUGGGUUAAGUCCCGCAACGAGCGCAACCCUUGUUCACUGUUGCCAGCACGUUAUGGUGGGGACUCAGUGGAGACCGCCGGGGUCAACUCGGAGGAAGGUGGGGAUGACGUCAAGUCACCAUGCCCCUUAUGUCCAGGGCUUCACGCAUGCUACAAUGGCUGGUACAGAGAGUGGCGAGCCUGUGAGGGUGAGCGAAUCUCGGAAAGCCGGUCUCAGUUCGGAUUGGGGUCUGCAACUCGACCUCAUGAAGUCGGAGUCGCUAGUAAUCGCAGAUCAGCAACGCUGCGGUGAAUACGUUCCCGGGGCU
This 1346-nucleotide ribosomal RNA is filed under the name uncultured bacterium. RNAcentral's name for it is "partial 16S ribosomal RNA". It matches the Rfam family "Bacterial small subunit ribosomal RNA", at positions 28 to 1381 of the family's 1533-position model. The record is from RNAcentral.